UACAGAGGAGCCAAGCGUUGUCCGGAUUGACUGGGCGUAAAGCGCACGCAGGCGGUUGCGCGCGUGGGGGGUGAAAUCUGGCCGCUUAACGGCCAGGCGCCAUCCCAUACGGCGCGACUGGAGUGAUGCAGAGGUCGAUGGAAUUGCCGGUGUAGUGGUGAAAUGCGUAGAUAUCCGGAGGAACACCGAUGGCGAAGGCAGCCCCCUGGGCUAACACUGACGCUCAGGCACGAAAGCGUGGGGAGCAAACAGG
Molecule: ribosomal RNA, 253 nt
Filed under: uncultured bacterium
Lineage: Bacteria
Description: partial 16S ribosomal RNA
Rfam family: Bacterial small subunit ribosomal RNA
Source: RNAcentral